This 514-nucleotide ribosomal RNA is filed under the name uncultured bacterium. Its description in RNAcentral is "bacterial SSU rRNA". It matches the Rfam family "Bacterial small subunit ribosomal RNA", at positions 32 to 518 of the family's 1533-position model. The record is from RNAcentral.
AACGCUGGCGGCGUGCCUAAUACAUGCAAGUCGAACGGUCUUUCUAUGGAAGCUUGCUUCCACUGAGAAGAUAGUGGCGAACGGGUGAGUAACACGUGGGUAACCUGCCCAUAAGAGGGGGAUAACAUCCGGAAACGGGUGCUAAUACCGCAUAGUUUUCUUGAUCGCAUGAUUGAGAAAGGAAAGACGGCCUUUGUGCUGUCGCUUAUGGAUGGACCCGCGGCGUAUUAGUUAGUUGGUGAGGUAACGGCUCACCAAGACGAUGAUACGUAGCCGACCUGAGAGGGUGAUCGGCCACAUUGGGACUGAGACACGGCCCAAACUCCUACGGGAGGCAGCAGUAGGGAAUCUUCCGCAAUGGACGAAAGUCUGACGGAGCAACGCCGCGUGAGUGAAGAAGGUUUUUCGGGAUCGUAAAACUCUGUUGUCAGAGAAGAACAAGUUGGAGAGUAACUGCUCCAGCCUUGACGGUAUCUGACCAGAAAGCCACGGCUAACUACGUGCCAGCAGCAGC